This 433-nucleotide ribosomal RNA is filed under the name uncultured bacterium. RNAcentral describes it as "partial 16S ribosomal RNA". It matches the Rfam family "Bacterial small subunit ribosomal RNA", at positions 29 to 507 of the family's 1533-position model. The record is from RNAcentral.
AACGAACGCUGGCGGCAUGCCUAACACAUGCAAGUCGAACGAGACCUUCGGGUCUAUUGGCGCACGGGUGCGUAACGCGUGGGAACCUGCCCUUAGGUUCGGCAUAACUCCCCGAAAGGGGUGCUAAUACCGGAUAAUUUCUUCGGACCAAAGAUUUAUCGCCUUUGGAUGGUCCCGCGUUGGAUUAGCUAGUUGGUAGGGUAAAAGCCUACCAAGGCGACGAUCCAUAGCUGGUCUGAGAGGAUGAUCAGCCACACUGGGACUGAGACACGGCCCAGACUCCUACGGGAGGAAGCAGUGGGGAAUAUUGGACAAUGGGCGAAAGCCUGAUCCAGCAAUGCCGCGUGAGUGAUGAAGGCCUUAGGGUUGUAAAGCUCUUUUACCCGGGAUGAUAAUGACAGUACCGGGAGAAUAAGCCCCGGCUAACUCCGUG